This 489-nucleotide ribosomal RNA is filed under the name uncultured bacterium. RNAcentral's name for it is "bacterial SSU rRNA". It matches the Rfam family "Bacterial small subunit ribosomal RNA", at positions 28 to 514 of the family's 1533-position model. The record is from RNAcentral.
GAUUAACGCUGGCGGCAUGCCUAAUACAUGCAAGUCGAACGGAAGCAGCAAUGCUUUAGUGGCGAACGGGUGAGUAACACGUAGGGAACCUACCUAUACGACGAGGAUAACUACUGGAAACGGUAGCUAAAACUGGAUAGGAUCAAUUGAGGCAUCUUGAUUGAUUUAAAGAUCCUUCGGGAUUACGUAGAGAUGGCCCUGCGGCGCAUUAGCUAGUUGGUGAGGUAACGGCCCACCAAGGCGACGAUGCGUAGCUGAGCUGAGAGGCUAAACAGCCACACUGGGACUGAGACACGGCCCAGACUCCUACGGGAGGCAGCAGUAGGGAAUUUUCGGCAAUGGGGGAAACCCUGACCGAGCAAUGCCGCGUGAACGAUGAAGGUCUUCGGAUUGUAAAGUUCUGUGAUUGGGGAAGAAUGGUAUUCUUAGGGAAUGAGGAGUACAUGACGGUACCCGAUUAGAAAGCCCCGGCUAACUAUGUGCCAGCAG